This 31-nucleotide non-coding RNA is filed under the name Rattus norvegicus (Norway rat). Lineage: Eukaryota; Metazoa; Chordata; Mammalia; Rodentia; Muridae. The record is from RNAcentral.
UCUUCCAGAUGGUUAGCCUGUGGCUCAGAAC